This 243-nucleotide ribosomal RNA is filed under the name Staphylococcus warneri. Its description in RNAcentral is "partial 23S ribosomal RNA". It matches the Rfam family "Bacterial large subunit ribosomal RNA", at positions 848 to 1089 of the family's 2925-position model. The record is from RNAcentral. Lineage: Bacteria; Bacillati; Bacillota; Bacilli; Caryophanales; Staphylococcaceae.
GCUGGUUCUCUCCGAAAUAGCUUUAGGGCUAGCCUCAAGUGAUGAUUAUUGGAGGUAGAGCACUGUUUGGACGAGGGGCCCUUCUCGGGUUACCGAAUUCAGACAAACUCCGAAUGCCAAUUAAUUUAACUUGGGAGUCAGAACAUGGGUGAUAAGGUCCGUGUUCGAAAGGGAAACAGCCCAGACCACCAGCUAAGGUCCCAAAAUAUAUGUUAAGUGGAAAAGGAUGUGGCGUUGCCCAGA